Molecule: unclassified non-coding RNA, 337 nt
Filed under: soil metagenome
Description: partial contains 5.8S ribosomal RNA, internal transcribed spacer 2, and large subunit ribosomal RNA
Rfam family: 5.8S ribosomal RNA (bases 1-120)
Source: RNAcentral
GAUGAAGAACGCAGCGAAAUGCGAUAAGUAGUGUGAAUUGCAGAAUUCAGUGAAUCAUCGAAUCUUUGAACGCACAUUGCGCCCCUUGGUAUUCCAUGGGGCAUGCCUGUUCGAGCGUCAUUUGUACCUUCAAGCUCUGCUUGGUGUUGGGUGUUUGUCUCGCCUCUGCGUGUAGACUCGCCUCAAAACAAUUGGCAGCCGCCGUAUUGAUUUCGGAGCGCAGUACAUCUCGCGCUUUGCACUCAUAACGACGACGUCCAAAAGUACAUUUUUACACUCUUGACCUCGGAUCAGGUAGGGAUACCCGCUGAACUUAAGCAUAUCAAUAAGCGGAGGA